AUACGUAGGGGGCGAGCGUUGUCCGGAAUGAUUGGGCGUAAAGGGCGCGUAGGCGGCGCGGUAAGUCUGGAGUGAAAGUCCUGCUUUCAAGGUGGGAAUUGCUUUGGAUACUGCCGCGCUUGAGUGCAGGAGAGGUUAUCGGAAUUCCCGGUGUAGCGGUGAAAUGCGUAGAGAUUGGGAGGAACACCAGUGGCGAAGGCGACUUACUGGACUGUAACUGACGCUGAGGCGCGAAAGUGUGGGGAGCAAACAGGAUUAGAGACCCUGGUAGUCCACACCGUAAACGAUGAAUGCUAGGUGUAGGGGGUAUCGACCCCUUCUGUGCCGUAGUCAACACAAUAAGCAUUCCGCCUGGGGAGUACGGCCGCAAGGUUGAAACUCAAAUGAAUUGACGGGG
Molecule: ribosomal RNA, 397 nt
Filed under: uncultured bacterium
Lineage: Bacteria
Description: partial 16S ribosomal RNA
Rfam family: Bacterial small subunit ribosomal RNA
Source: RNAcentral